GCCAAGAUCAACAAGGAUAAAUAUGAAUUAAAUUUUUUUGGAGUUGUCGAAUCCCAAAAAAAAAAGCGCUUAAUCUUAACAACACAAUCAACAGUAUACAUUUUAGACAGGAUAAUAAAGAUAGAAUCGUUUUCAGCACUCAAUUCUUAGUUAUAACAUGUGCAUUAAAUUAACAGCCGAACAUGGUUCCAUUAAUAGUGUCAUUGUACGAUGCCGAAUUUGGAAUUGAAUCAAGCAUGAUACGAGCUUGGUAUGUUAUCUCAAGCAUAACGAAAUUAUUAACGUAACAUUUUCGGAAAGUAAAACAAGACUUUGUUUCUAACCGGUCGAAAAAACAAAACAGCAUCUUCAAUAAAAAAAAAUUCGCCGAG
RNAcentral lists this long non-coding RNA (371 nucleotides) under Olea europaea subsp. europaea. Lineage: Eukaryota; Viridiplantae; Streptophyta; Magnoliopsida; Lamiales; Oleaceae. The record is from RNAcentral.